Non-coding RNA from Schistocephalus solidus, 83 nucleotides. Lineage: Eukaryota; Metazoa; Platyhelminthes; Cestoda; Diphyllobothriidea; Diphyllobothriidae. The record is from Rfam.
GGCCUCGUAGCUCAGUUGGCUAGAGCGUUGACUGUACUAAAGCCUUCCCCUUGCUGGUGUGGGUUCGAAACCCACUGAGGCCG